Molecule: ribosomal RNA, 543 nt
Filed under: Ensifer sp.
Lineage: Bacteria; Pseudomonadati; Pseudomonadota; Alphaproteobacteria; Hyphomicrobiales; Rhizobiaceae
Description: bacterial SSU rRNA
Rfam family: Bacterial small subunit ribosomal RNA
Source: RNAcentral
CGCACAGCCGGGCGGGGGAAAUAUUUAUCGGGAAAGGAUGAGCCAGCGUUGGAUUAGCUAGUGGGUGGGGUAAAGACCUCCCAAGGGGCCGAUCCAUAGCUGGUGUGAGAGGAUGAUCACCCACAUUGGGAGUGAGACACGGCCCAAACUCCUACGGGAGGCAGCAGUGGGGAAUAUUGGACAAUGGGCGCAAGCCUGAUCCAGCCAUGCCGCGUGAGUGAUGAAGGCCCUAGGGUUGUAAAGCUCUUUCACCGGUGAAGAUAAUGACGGUAACCGGAGAAGAAGCCCCGGCUAACUUCGUGCCAGCAGCCGCGGUAAUACGAAGGGGGCUAGCGUUGUUCGGAAUUACUGGGCGUAAAGCGCACGUAGGCGGAUUGUUAAGUGAGGGGUGAAAUCCCAGGGCUCAACCCUGGAACUGCCUUUCAUACUGGCAAUCUAGAGUCCAGAAGAGGUGAGUGGAAUUCCGAGUGUAGAGGUGAAAUUCGUAGAUAUUCGGAGGAACACCAGUGGCGAAGGCGGCUCACUGGUCUGGAACUGACGCUG